This 567-nucleotide unclassified non-coding RNA is filed under the name Aspergillus fumigatus. Its description in RNAcentral is "sequence contains 18S rRNA gene, ITS1, 5.8S rRNA gene, ITS2, 28S rRNA gene". The stretch from base 194 to 347 matches the Rfam family "5.8S ribosomal RNA". The record is from RNAcentral. Lineage: Eukaryota; Fungi; Ascomycota; Eurotiomycetes; Eurotiales; Aspergillaceae.
GAUCAUUACCGAGUGAGGGCCCUCUGGGUCCAACCUCCCACCCGUGUCUAUCGUACCUUGUUGCUUCGGCGGGCCCGCCGUUUCGACGGCCGCCGGGGAGGCCUUGCGCCCCCGGGCCCGCGCCCGCCGAAGACCCCAACAUGAACGCUGUUCUGAAAGUAUGCAGUCUGAGUUGAUUAUCGUAAUCAGUUAAAACUUUCAACAACGGAUCUCUUGGUUCCGGCAUCGAUGAAGAACGCAGCGAAAUGCGAUAAGUAAUGUGAAUUGCAGAAUUCAGUGAAUCAUCGAGUCUUUGAACGCACAUUGCGCCCCCUGGUAUUCCGGGGGGCAUGCCUGUCCGAGCGUCAUUGCUGCCCUCAAGCACGGCUUGUGUGUUGGGCCCCCGUCCCCCUCUCCCGGGGGACGGGCCCGAAAGGCAGCGGCGGCACCGCGUCCGGUCCUCGAGCGUAUGGGGCUUUGUCACCUGCUCUGUAGGCCCGGCCGGCGCCAGCCGACACCCAACUUUAUUUUUCUAAGGUUGACCUCGGAUCAGGUAGGGAUACCCGCUGAACUUAAGCAUAUCAAUAA